RNAcentral lists this transfer RNA (63 nucleotides) under Podarcis lilfordi (Lilford's wall lizard). RNAcentral's name for it is "tRNA.Ala". It matches the Rfam family "tRNA". From Rfam's summary of the family: Transfer RNA (tRNA) molecules are approximately 80 nucleotides in length. Their secondary structure includes four short double-helical elements and three loops (D, anti-codon, and T loops). Further hydrogen bonds mediate the characteristic L-shaped molecular structure. tRNAs have two regions of fundamental functional importance: the anti-codon, which is responsible for specific mRNA codon recognition, and the 3' end, to which the tRNAs corresponding amino acid is attached (by aminoacyl-tRNA synthetases). tRNAs cope with the degeneracy of the genetic code in two manners: having more than one tRNA (with a specific anti-codon) for a particular amino acid; and 'wobble' base-pairing, i.e. permitting non-standard base-pairing at the 3rd anti-codon position. The record is from RNAcentral. Lineage: Eukaryota; Metazoa; Chordata; Lepidosauria; Squamata; Lacertidae.
GUAGCUCAGUGGUUGAGCAUCUGCUUGGCAUGCAGAAGGCCACAGGUUCUAAUCCCAGUAACU